RNAcentral lists this transfer RNA (76 nucleotides) under Streptococcus pneumoniae. RNAcentral's name for it is "tRNA-Met(cat)". It matches the Rfam family "tRNA". Rfam says of the family: Transfer RNA (tRNA) molecules are approximately 80 nucleotides in length. Their secondary structure includes four short double-helical elements and three loops (D, anti-codon, and T loops). Further hydrogen bonds mediate the characteristic L-shaped molecular structure. tRNAs have two regions of fundamental functional importance: the anti-codon, which is responsible for specific mRNA codon recognition, and the 3' end, to which the tRNAs corresponding amino acid is attached (by aminoacyl-tRNA synthetases). tRNAs cope with the degeneracy of the genetic code in two manners: having more than one tRNA (with a specific anti-codon) for a particular amino acid; and 'wobble' base-pairing, i.e. permitting non-standard base-pairing at the 3rd anti-codon position. RNAcentral also lists the same sequence under 1 other name. The record is from RNAcentral. Lineage: Bacteria; Bacillati; Bacillota; Bacilli; Lactobacillales; Streptococcaceae.
CGCGGGGUGGAGCAGCACGGUAGCUCGUCGGGCUCAUAACCCGAAGGUCGCAGGUUCAAAUCCUGUCCCCGCAACC